RNAcentral lists this long non-coding RNA (703 nucleotides) under Glycine max (soybean). Its description in RNAcentral is "long non-coding RNA (GMAX_LNC000887)". Lineage: Eukaryota; Viridiplantae; Streptophyta; Magnoliopsida; Fabales; Fabaceae. The record is from RNAcentral.
GACAACGUUGUUGGGCAUGUGACCAACACAUGCAUGAGACUGAGUCGUUAUCUCUGUCCUUUUGAGGUUGUGACGUCGAAGUUGGGCAUGCCGUGAAGAUUUUCUUCUUUGGAAAUCAAUCAAAAAUGUUUUGGGCUUCUGUCGUUCGAAUGUUAUAUUGAAAGCAAUGUUUCACUUUCGGCAUUGGAUCAGGGGAAACAUCUAUCUUUUUGGCAUAAGCAUGGCUGAAAGAAGCUAAGGCCCUCUAUGUACAAAGGUCUUCUAUAUUGAUAUCCAAGACAUUUGUUUUAGGAUAAAUGAUGUUUUCCAACAUGGGGCAUCUCAAAUUCCUUCAACGCUGAAACAACGCAAUCUCAAUAUUAAUCCACAUGUCCCUGACAUGAUUAUUUGGAGUGAGAACAUAAAUGGAGUUUGCACUACUAAGUCGGGUUCUGCAGCACCAAACUCAUCAUGGUCAAGUUUUUUAAGAGUCGUUUCCAAACAUCUCGUUCCUUGAUCCCACUGCUUCUGACUCUUCUCUCUUUUUCUUUUUGUUUUUCCAUUAUUUUCGUUUUAAUCACUACUGAUAUCAUUUGAGCUGCUAAAAACCUUGCACAGUUUGCUUUGUUGCCACUUCUUUUUAUUUCAUUUAGUGUUUUGUUUGUUUGUUUUUCUUUCGUUCUUUCAUUCUAUAAAUAUUAUUACUUCAUAUAUAUAUCCUCCC